This is a non-coding RNA of Dermatophagoides farinae (American house dust mite), 436 nucleotides long. Lineage: Eukaryota; Metazoa; Arthropoda; Arachnida; Sarcoptiformes; Pyroglyphidae. The record is from RefSeq and is a predicted model, not a curated record.
CCAAGGUGUUACUAAAUCGCCAGAAUCAGCGUCAACAUUGGCCAAUUGAUUGAUGAUAAUCGAAAAGAUACAUGUCUAUUUAUGAUGCAAGAAUCUUCAUUUUGAUUGCAGAAUUUUGUGAAAAAAAAGAAAGCCCCGAAACCUGUUGUUCGAUACGAAUGAAAGAUGAGAAAGAAAUGAAAUGAAAAACAAGGUUUCAUUUUAACCGGACUUGGUCACUAUUGGUGAAUUAGGUCAAACUAUCAUCUUUUCAAAACAAGUUCUCUUCACAGAUAUAUUAGGCUAUUUACAACUAUUUUUAUUCAUUUUUAUCAUCAUCUUCAUGACUGAUGGAUGCUAUUGUUGUCAUGGAUGUUCUCUGUAUUUGUGUUUGUCUGUCUGUGUAUUAUAAUAGUUUUGGUGAGAAAAAUAAUAAUAAAACUGGUUCACAUAUGAA